RNAcentral lists this ribosomal RNA (335 nucleotides) under uncultured bacterium. RNAcentral describes it as "bacterial SSU rRNA". It matches the Rfam family "Bacterial small subunit ribosomal RNA", at positions 29 to 346 of the family's 1533-position model. The record is from RNAcentral.
AACGAACGCUGGCGGCGUGGAUUAGGCAUGCAAGUCGAACGUGAAAAGGGGCUUCGGCUCCUGAGUAAAGUGGCAAACGGGUGAGUAACGCGUGAGGAACCUGCCUGGAAGUGGGGGACAACACUCCUAACGGGGUGCUAAUACCGCAUGUGCAUGUGGGGUCGCAUGGCUCUGCAUGUAAAGGUGGCCUCUGCUCGCAAGCUACCGCUUCCGGAUGGCCUUGCGCCCAUUAGCUAGUUGGCGGGGUAACGGCCCACCAAGGCGACGAUGGGUAGCUGGUCUGAGAGGAUGGUCAGCCACACUGGGACUGAGAUACGGCCCAGACUCCUACGGGA